UACGAAGGGGGCUAGCGUUGUUCGGAUUUACUGGGCGUAAAGCGCACGUAGGCGGAUCGUUAAGUCGGGGGUGAAAUCCUGGAGCUCAACUCCAGAACUGCCUUCGAUACUGGCGAUCUCGAGUCCGGAAGAGGUGAGUGGAACUCCUAGUGUAGAGGUGGAAUUCGUAGAUAUUAGGAAGAACACCAGUGGCGAAGGCGGCCAACUGGACGAAGACUGACGCUGAGACACGAAAGCGUGGGGAGCAAACAGG
RNAcentral lists this ribosomal RNA (253 nucleotides) under uncultured bacterium. Its description in RNAcentral is "partial 16S ribosomal RNA". It matches the Rfam family "Bacterial small subunit ribosomal RNA", at positions 524 to 776 of the family's 1533-position model. The record is from RNAcentral.